GGGGGUAUAGCUCAGUGGUAGAGCACCUGCUUUGCAUGCAUGAAGCCCUGGGUUGCAUCUCCAGCUCCUUUU
RNAcentral lists this transfer RNA (72 nucleotides) under Alligator mississippiensis (American alligator). It matches the Rfam family "tRNA". From Rfam's summary of the family: Transfer RNA (tRNA) molecules are approximately 80 nucleotides in length. Their secondary structure includes four short double-helical elements and three loops (D, anti-codon, and T loops). The record is from Rfam by way of RNAcentral. Lineage: Eukaryota; Metazoa; Chordata; Crocodylia; Alligatoridae.